UAUUAGGUCAAGGAGUCCCCUGCU
RNAcentral lists this non-coding RNA (24 nucleotides) under Rattus norvegicus (Norway rat). Lineage: Eukaryota; Metazoa; Chordata; Mammalia; Rodentia; Muridae. The record is from RNAcentral.